This is a long non-coding RNA of Vespa velutina, 1189 nucleotides long. RefSeq lists it as uncharacterized. The record is from RefSeq and is a predicted model, not a curated record. NCBI's taxonomy places the organism in Eukaryota, Metazoa, Arthropoda, Insecta, Hymenoptera, Vespidae. The transcript has 3 exons.
ACCGUCAUUCUAAACAUGCACUCUUGAGUAUUCGUCUGUGAAAACGAGGGUGUGUAAGUUCGGGUCUCUUUUGAAAUCACUUAUGUAUCACGUGAUAAAACCCUCGAGUGGACCAAUCAGAGCGAACACCAUGAAACGAUCACGUGCUCGGAGCGUUUCAAGCGUUGUUUUACGCGGGCGUAUAGUACGAUUUCUGAAGGGAAAUGAAGAAUAAUGAGAGCCGUUCGUCGACCCAUACGUUCCUGUGCACCCGAAAACUGGUUGAGCCGGGCUCAACGCCACUUCGAAAUAAAAGGGAACGUGGAAAGGGAAGAGAAGUGAUGUAGGAAGAAGAGGAGGAGGAAGAGAAGGAGGAGGAGGAGGAGGAGGGGAAAGAAGAGGAGGAAAAGAAGAAAAAGAAUAAGAAGAAAGAAUGGUGAGCCGAGCAAAAAACUAUCGGUCGAUCGCAAUACGCGUAUGCAAAAACCCGUGCCGUACCCCUGGGCCUGGAUAUAUACAAGGAGCACAUUUACCUUACUACUCGUGAAACUUUUAUAGCUCUUAAAAGGCUCGAAGGAUAAUUCAAAGAGGAUAGCAAUAAACAUUACAGGGAGCAUGCUACCGUCCACCCAUCUUACUUCUUCUUUUUCUUUUUUUUUUUCUUUUUUUUUUUUCUUGAAAUAUGUACUUACAUUACUCAAUACAAAAUGAAGAUUACGAACUAAAUUUACUUCUUUCCCUUUCUCUCUCUCUCUCUCUCUCUCUCUCUCUCUCUCUCUCUCUUUCUCUUUCUCUUUUGGAAUAUAGUACUUAUAAAGCGUCAUUUUUCAUUUCGAUUCGUUUAAAAAGAUCGAUCUAAGAUCAAGAUUUGAACGGUAUUAAAUUCGUUCGUUCAGUAACGAUUAAUACUUUAAUAACGAAACAGUAGCUUAUCAACAUAACACUUCCUGUCGAUCGUUCACUUUCACCGCAAGAGUCAUCCGUCUGGUCGCGGUCGACCGAUCAAUUACCUUCUAUCGAUUGUGAUUUACGUCGAUCGCCUUUGGCUUGUAUCGACAUCGAUCUAUACGAAACUUCAGGAUGAUCUAAAUCGAACUUUUGUACGAAUUAAAAAGAAAAAAAAGAAAAAAAAAAAAGCAAAAAUGUAGAAAAAAGAAGAAGAAGAAGAACAAGAAGAAUACAAGUUAAUUAAAAAGAAAAAAAAGUCAUU